GGAACCGCUUCGGCCCCGGCCGGCCGGGCGGGGAAGACUGGUGUGGUCUGGCCAUGGAUGGGCUCCAGGCCAGUGCAGGGCCGUUGAGGCGCGGGCGGCCGAGGCGCCGGCGCAAGCCCCAGCCACACAGCGGGUCGGUCCUGGCCCUGCCCUUGAGGCCCAGGAAGAUACGAAAGCAGCUGCGAAGUGUUGUAUCCCGCAUGGCAGCGCUGAGGACGCAGACGCUGCCUAGCGAGGACUCGGAGGACUCGAGGGUGGAGUCGACGGCCGACGACCUGGGGGACGCGCUACCCGGUGGGGCGGCGGUGGCGGCCGUCCCGGACGCAGCCCGGCGAGAGCCAUACGGCCACCUGGGGCCCGCAGAGCUGCUGGAGGCCUCGCCCGCCGCGCGCUCCCUGCAGACCCCGCCGGCGCGCCUGGUGCCCGCUUCCGCGCCGCCCGCGCGCCUGGUGGAGGUGCCCGCCGCGCCGGUCCGGGUGGUGGAGACCUCGGCCCUGCUGUGCACCGCGCAACACUUAGCGGCCGUCCAGUCGUCCGGGGCCCCUGCGACGGCGUCGGGGCCGCAGGUGGAUAACACGGGUGGGGAGCCGGCCUGGGACUCCCCGCUGCGGCGCGUCUUGGCCGAGCUGAACCGCAUCCCCAGCAGCCGGCGGCGAGCGGCCCGCCUCUUUGAGUGGCUCAUCGCGCCCAUGCCGCCAGAUCACUUCUACCGGCGCCUAUGGGAGCGCGAGGCGGUGCUGGUGCGGCGGCAGGACCACACCUACUACCAGGGACUUUUCUCUACCGCCGACCUGGAUUCGAUGCUGCGCAACGAGGAGGUGCAGUUCGGCCAGCAUUUGGACGCCGCUCGCUACAUCAACGGACGACGCGAGACCCUGAACCCACCCGGCCGCGCGCUGCCCGCCGCCGCGUGGUCCCUGUACCAGGCCGGCUGCUCCCUGCGCCUCCUCUGUCCGCAGGCUUUCUCUACCACUGUGUGGCAGUUUUUGGCUGUGCUUCAAGAGCAGUUUGGAAGCAUGGCAGGCUCCAACGUUUACCUCACGCCCCCUAACUCGCAGGGCUUUGCCCCCCACUACGACGACAUCGAGGCCUUCGUGCUGCAGCUGGAAGGUAGGAAACUCUGGCGUGUAUACCGACCCCGAGUCCCAACUGAGGAACUGGCUCUGACAUCCAGCCCCAACUUGAGUCAGGACGACCUCGGUGAGCCGGUGCUGCAGACCGUGCUGGAACCUGGAGAUUUGCUGUAUUUUCCUCGGGGCUUCAUUCACCAAGCUGAAUGCCAGGAUGGAGUCCACUCUCUGCACCUCACCUUGUCCACGUACCAGCGCAAUACCUGGGGUGACUUCUUAGAGGCCAUACUGCCUCUGGCAGUGCAGGCUGCAAUGGAAGAAAAUGUGGAGUUUCGGAGGGGUCUGCCCCGAGACUUCAUGGAUUACAUGGGGGCCCAGCAUUCAGAUUCUAAGGAUCCGCGAAGAACCGCUUUCAUGGAGAAGGUGCGGGUCUUGGUUGCCCGCCUGGGACACUUUGCUCCUGUUGAUGCUGUGGCCGACCAGCGAGCCAAAGACUUCAUUCACGAUUCUCUGCCCCCUGUUUUGACUGAUAGGGAGAGGGCACUAAGUGUUUACGGGCUUCCAAUUCGCUGGGAAGCUGGAGAACCUGUAAACGUGGGGGCCCAGUUGACAACAGAAACAGAAGUCCAUAUGCUUCAGGAUGGGAUAGCUCGGCUGGUGGGUGAGGGGGGCCAUUUGUUUCUCUAUUACACAGUGGAAAACUCCCGUGUGUAUCAUCUGGAAGAACCCAAGUGCUUGGAAAUAUACCCCCAGCAAGCUGAUGCCAUGGAACUGUUGCUUCGUUCUUAUCCAGAGUUUGUGAGAGUGGGGGACCUGCCCUGUGACAGUGUGGAGGACCAGCUUUCCUUGGCAACCAUGUUGUAUGAUAAGGGGCUGCUGCUCACUAAGAUGCCUCUAGCCCUAAAUUAGUUUCUUGUUGAUUGCUGGAAACAAUGCAGUAGUGAUUCUCCGCUGCCACUGCUACCUUUUUUUUUUUUUUUCUUAAACUCACGUUCUUACCUUGAUAACCAUCAGUGUGCUCACAUUUACCUUUAUCACUGCUUCAGUGUCACAAACCUCGGAAGGUCUUCUAGGAAGAACCAUCUCAUCUAGGUACAAAAGGCAAAGGAGAAGUUGGAGGUGGAAAAAAAAACCUUGAUCCGUGAUCAUUUCAGAGCACCAACUUCAUCACCUUCAGGCUUCAGUGUACUGGGUAGCACUGACCAUGUCAUUCUGCUUGAGACAGACAUUAGAUUUUUUUUGGAAUUUGGAUCUUUCAUCUGAGUUCUUUUUCAUCAGUUUGGGGGGCGGGUCGGGUUGGAAGAAACGUCCCCAAAUCUGACAAGUGAAUAUUCUCAUGGUUGGUGGAAAAGUGCCUGAUGUACCAGAAAGAGCACUGGACUUGGAACCAGAAGACCUGGGUUUGGGGUGGUAGCUGGUAGGCAGCUGGCUGAGUGACCUGAGGCUGAUGCUACGCUCAGGCACACAGAUUUUGGCACCAGCUGCCAAACAGGCUGCCCGCCGAACUGCUGUGAAGUCAUCAGAGAAGCAGUGCAGGAAGCUUGGGAGAAGCUUGGCGGUCAUAAGCUUGAGCUCACCUAUCAGGUAGAGAG
Gorilla gorilla gorilla (western lowland gorilla) is the source of this 2662-nucleotide RNA transcript. It is a transcript of the gene named ribosomal oxygenase 1, with no coding region annotated. The record is from RefSeq and is a predicted model, not a curated record. NCBI's taxonomy places the organism in Eukaryota, Metazoa, Chordata, Mammalia, Primates, Hominidae. The transcript has 3 exons.